This 447-nucleotide ribosomal RNA is filed under the name uncultured bacterium. RNAcentral describes it as "partial 16S ribosomal RNA". It matches the Rfam family "Bacterial small subunit ribosomal RNA", at positions 330 to 793 of the family's 1533-position model. The record is from RNAcentral.
CCCAGACUCCUACGGGAGGCAGCAGUGGGGGAUAUUGCACAAUGGGGGGAACCCUGAUGCAGCGACGCCGCGUGGGUGAAGGAGCGUUUCGGCGCGUAAAGCCCUCUCGGCAGGGAAGAAGGAGGACGGUACCUGACUAAGAAGCCCCGGCUAACUACGUGCCAGCAGCCGCGGUAAUACGUAGGGGGCAAGCGUUAUCCGGAUUUACUGGGUGUAAAGGGGGCGCAGGCGGCAGCGCAAGCCAGGAGUGAAAGCCCGGGGCCCAACCCCGGGACUGCUCUUGGAACUGCGCGGCUGGAGUGCAGGAGGGGCAGGCGGAAUUCCUGGUGUAGCGGUGAAAUGCGUAGAUAUCAGGAGGAACACCGGUGGCGAAGGCGGCCUGCUGGACUGCGACUGACGUUGAGGCCCGAAAGCGUGGGGAGCAAACAGGAUUAGAUACCCCUGUAC